Molecule: non-coding RNA, 117 nt
Filed under: Rhizobium esperanzae
Lineage: Bacteria; Pseudomonadati; Pseudomonadota; Alphaproteobacteria; Hyphomicrobiales; Rhizobiaceae
Source: RNAcentral
GCUAAGCUGCUUCGCCAGAUGGGGUCUGCUUGUCGCUUACAACCAGUCCGAGCUGCUGCGGUAAAGAGCCGUGGUGGUGAGCGCCGGAUGAAAAGUCCGGACGAGAUCCGAGCAGGU